GGUGAGUGAGUAGGUGAGUGAGUAGGUGAGUAGGUGAGUGAGUCUGGCUCCCCUACGGACAGGCUCACAGCUACUGUGAGGAGUGUGUAGGUGAGUGAGUAGGUGAGUGAGUGAGUGAGUAGGUGAGUGAGUAGGUGAGUGAGUGAGUGAGUAGGUGAGUGAGUAGGUGAGUGAGUGAGUAGGUGAGUGAGUAGGUGAGUAGGUGAGUGAGUCUGGCUCCCCUACGGACAGGCUCACAGCUACUGUGAGGAGUGUGUAGGUGAGUGAGUAGGUGAGUGAGUAGGUGAGUGAGUAGGUGAGUAGGUGAGUGAGUAGGUGAGUGAGUAGGUGAGUGAGUCUGGCUCCCCUACGGACAGGCUCACAGCUACUGUGAGGAGUGUGUAGGUGAGUGAGUGAGUGAGUAGGUGAGUGAGUGAGUGAGUAGGUGAGUGAGUCUGGCUCCCCUACGGACAGGCUCACAGCUACUGUGAGGAGUGUGUAGGUGAGUGAGUGAGUGAGUAGGUGAGUGAGUAGGUGAGUGAGUGAGUGAGUAGGUGAGUGAGUAGGUGAGUUAGUGAGUAGGUGAGUGAGUAGAUGAGUAGGUGAGUGAGUCUGGCUCCCCUACGGACAGGCUCACAGCUACUGUGAGGAGUGUGUAGGUGAGUGAGUAGGUGAGUGAGUGAGUGAGUAGGUGAGUGAGUGAGUAGGUGAGUGAGUAGGUGAGUAGGUGAGUGAGUCUGGCUCCCCUACGGACAGGCUCACAGCUGCUGUGAGGAGUGUGUAGGUGAGUGAGUAGGUGAGUGAGUGAGUGAGUGAGUAGGUGAGUGAGUAGGUGAGUGAGUGAGUGAGUAGGUGAGUGAGUAGGUGAGUGAGUAGGUGAGUAGGUGAGUGAGUCUGGCUCCCCUACGGACAGGCUCACAGCUACUGUGAGGAGUGUGUAGGUGAGUGAGUAGGUGAGUGAGUGAGUGAGUAGGUGAGUGAGUAGGUGAGUGAGUAGGUGAGUAGGUGAGUGAGUCUGGCUCCCCUACGGACAGGCUCACAGCUACUGUGAGGAGUGUGUAGGUGAGUGAGUAGGUGAGUUAGUAGGUGAGUGAGUAGGUGAGUGAGUAGGUGAGUGAGUAGGUGAG
This is a non-coding RNA of Petromyzon marinus (sea lamprey), 1106 nucleotides long. Lineage: Eukaryota; Metazoa; Chordata; Hyperoartia; Petromyzontiformes; Petromyzontidae. The record is from RefSeq and is a predicted model, not a curated record.